RNAcentral lists this ribosomal RNA (699 nucleotides) under Griffithsia sp. ARS-2011. Its description in RNAcentral is "eukaryotic LSU rRNA". It matches the Rfam family "Eukaryotic large subunit ribosomal RNA", at positions 1264 to 1920 of the family's 3401-position model. The record is from RNAcentral. Lineage: Eukaryota; Rhodophyta; Florideophyceae; Ceramiales; Ceramiaceae.
GAAUCCGCYAAGGAGUGUGUAACAACUCACCUGCCGAAUGAAUUAGCCCUGAAAAUGGAUGACGCUUAAGCGAGUUGCCGACACCCGGCCGUCUGGGUAAGUGGUCAAAUAUAAAUUAUCGGUAAUUCCAGAUGAGUAGGAGGGCGCGGCGGUUGUGUCGAAGCGCGGGUGCGAACUUGCGUGGAACGGCCGCUGGUGCAGAUCUUGGUGUUAGUAGCAAAUAUUCAAAUGAGAACCUUGAAGGGCGAAGCGGGGAAGGGUUCCACGCGAACAUUGAUUGAGCGUGGGUGAGUCGUUCCUAAACCGAGUGGUAAUAGCUAAGUAUCGGUGAAAGGGAAGCCGGUUGACAUUCCGGCACACGAGUGUUUGAAAUUUGCGGUGACGCACCAAUCAUGAGGCAAUGACGCCGGCGAUGGAUCUGGGCAGAGUUUUCUUUUCUGUUUGACCGUUCCUAUUACGUACUCUGUGGAAUCCGCUUGUCGGGAGAAACAGGUAUAGUUUGGGCAGAGCGCCGGGGCUUUUCCGGCGUCCAGAUCUCUAUCGACGGCCCUUGAAAAAUUGUCUGCUGGCAAAAUAUGAAAAAGUUUGAAAUAUAUUUUGUGGUAAUAUUUCGCACCGUAACGUACCCAUAACCGCAUCAGGUCCCCAAGGUGAACAGCCUCUGCUCAGUAUGAAGAAUGCAGGUAAGGGAAGUCGGCA